Molecule: long non-coding RNA, 359 nt
Organism: Solanum dulcamara
Lineage: Eukaryota; Viridiplantae; Streptophyta; Magnoliopsida; Solanales; Solanaceae
Exons: 3
Source: RefSeq, a predicted model, not a curated record
CUUCUGAUUGUUGUGACCAUUCAGUAAAUUUAUGGGAUAUAUCCAAUGUGGUAUUUGUGGAGACAGAGUAUUAUCUGCUCCUAUAGUUUAUUCGCAAUGAUAAAACAAGAAAACUAAUAUCUCUGAUCAGGCCGAAUUCAGUAUCUUUUAUCAGGCCAAGGGAGAAGGAGAUAUAAAAGAGUCAUGGGUUUUUGAUGCUUUGCAACUUGGAUGAUGCAAAAAAGUUAGGUUCUAUAGGAACCAGUAGAUCCCAAUACAUCAAAUGCCAAGGCCAUUGAUCUAAUUGUUUGCCACUGGCAUCAAGCCAUACUUUGCGAGGUAUAGCUUGAAUUCUAGCCCAUCCUUUUCUGUUCUCGAAA